AAAGUGGAAACUAAUCCCAUUUGCUUGGAAACAAAUUGUGGUUGUAAUAAUUGUAAUAGUACAGGAGAUUGUCAAUAUUUCUCUUUUAUGUGCAAUUUAAGUCUGGAAUUCAUCUGCUGACCCAUUCAUGUGCUUGUUUAGGACAUACACAUGUGGCUGAGGCACUGAAAGUACCGCUUCACAUAUUCUUUACAAUGCCUUGGACAUAAGUCUUGUUGUUUAAGUAGAAAUCCAAUACUCUUAAAAUUAUCAGAGUCACCACCUUAUCAUUAUAUUUCACCUACAUUCUGCAAGUGCCUUUUCUAUAUGCCAUAUUGUUCAUUUGUCACUGUCACAUUUUUAGAAAACAUGAUAAAGCAAAUAGAAACUGCAGUUUUCUGCUUCAGAUAAUAUUAUAUUCUUUUGCUUUGCACUUACAAGACUUUUCCA
Long non-coding RNA from Magnolia sinica, 429 nucleotides. RefSeq lists it as uncharacterized. The transcript has 2 exons. NCBI's taxonomy places the organism in Eukaryota, Viridiplantae, Streptophyta, Magnoliopsida, Magnoliales, Magnoliaceae. The record is from RefSeq and is a predicted model, not a curated record.